Molecule: long non-coding RNA, 94 nt
Organism: Xenia sp. Carnegie-2017
Lineage: Eukaryota; Metazoa; Cnidaria; Anthozoa; Malacalcyonacea; Xeniidae
Exons: 3
Source: RefSeq, a predicted model, not a curated record
ACAAAGAAAUAACAGUAGAUCCCCAACAACUUGUGGUAGUGUUUAUUCAAUGAAUAUUAUGACUUUUGAUAAAAUGUAAUCUGCGUUGAUUCCA